GACGAACGCUGGCGGCGUGCUUAACACAUGCAAGUCGAACGGAAAGGCCCUGCUUUUGUGGGGUGCUCGAGUGGCGAACGGGUGAGUAACACGUGAGUAACCUGCCCUUGACUUUGGGAUAACUUCAGGAAACUGGGGCUAAUACCGGAUAGGAGCUCCUGCUGCAUGGGGGGGGUUGGAAAGUUUCGGCGGUUGGGGAUGGACUCGCGGCUUAUCAGCUUGUUGGUGGGGUAGUGGCUUACCAAGGCUUUGACGGGUAGCCGGCCUGAGAGGGUGACCGGCCACAUUGGGACUGAGAUACGGCCCAGACUCCUACGGGAGGCAGCAGUGGGGAAUAUUGCACAAUGGGCGGAAGCCUGAUGCAGCAAUGCCGCGUGCGGGAUGACGGCCUUCGGGUUGUAAACCGCUUUCGCCUGUGACGAAGCGUGAGUGACGGUAAUGGGUAAAGAAGCACCGGCUAACUACGUG
This 468-nucleotide ribosomal RNA is filed under the name uncultured bacterium. Its description in RNAcentral is "partial 16S ribosomal RNA". It matches the Rfam family "Bacterial small subunit ribosomal RNA", at positions 28 to 507 of the family's 1533-position model. The record is from RNAcentral.